Molecule: ribosomal RNA, 595 nt
Filed under: uncultured Arcobacter sp.
Lineage: Bacteria; Pseudomonadati; Campylobacterota; Epsilonproteobacteria; Campylobacterales; Arcobacteraceae
Description: bacterial SSU rRNA
Rfam family: Bacterial small subunit ribosomal RNA
Source: RNAcentral
AGAUUAGCUUGCUUUAGUUGUCAGCUAAGUGGCGCACGGGUGAGUAAUGUAUAGAUAACCUGCCCUUAAGAAAGGAAUAACAGUUGGAAACGACUGCUAAUGCCCUAUAUGCCUUUAAUACAUAAGUAUGCAAGGGAAACGCUUUAGUGCUUAAGGAUGGGUCUGUAUGGUAUCAGCUUGUUGGUGAGGUAAUGGCUCACCAAGGCUAUGACGCCUAACUGGUUUGAGAGGAUGAUCAGUCACACUGGAACUGAGACACGGUCCAGACUCCUACGGGAGGCAGCAGUGGGGAAUAUUGCACAAUGGACGAAAGUCUGAUGCAGCAACGCCGCGUGGAGGAUGACACAUUUCGGUGCGUAAACUCCUUUUAUAUAGGAAGAUAAUGACGGUACUAUAUGAAUAAGCACCGGCUAACUCCGUGCCAGCAGCCGCGGUAAUACGGAGGGUGCAAGCGUUACUCGGAAUCACUGGGCGUAAAGAGCGUGUAGGUGGGUAUAUAAGUCAGAAGUGAAAUCCUAUAGCUUAACUAUAGAACUGCUUUUGAAACUGUAUACCUAGAAUGUGGGAGAGGUAGAUGGAAUUUCUGGUGUAGGGG